UGGGGAAUAUUGGACAAUGGGCGAAAGCCUGAUCCAGCCAUGCCGCGUGUGUGAAGAAGGUCUUCGGAUUGUAAAGCACUUUAAGUUGGGAGGAAGGGCAUUAACCUAAUACGUUAGUGUUUUGACGUUACCGACAGAAUAAGCACCGGCUAACUCUGUGCCAGCAGCCGCGGUAAUACAGAGGGUGCAAGCGUUAAUCGGAAUUACUGGGCGUAAAGCGCGCGUAGGUGGUUUGUUAAGUUGGAUGUGAAAACCACGGGCUCAACCUGGGAACUGCAUUCAAAACUGACUGACUAGAGUAUGGUAGAGGGUGGUGGAAUUUCCUGUGUAGCGGUAAAAUGCGUAGAUAUAGGAAGGAACACCAGUGGCGAAGGCGACCACCUGGACUAAUACUGACACUGAGGUGCGAAAGCGUGGGGAGCAAACA
RNAcentral lists this ribosomal RNA (427 nucleotides) under uncultured bacterium. RNAcentral's name for it is "partial 16S ribosomal RNA". It matches the Rfam family "Bacterial small subunit ribosomal RNA", at positions 355 to 774 of the family's 1533-position model. The record is from RNAcentral.